This 799-nucleotide ribosomal RNA is filed under the name uncultured bacterium. RNAcentral describes it as "bacterial SSU rRNA". It matches the Rfam family "Bacterial small subunit ribosomal RNA", at positions 8 to 796 of the family's 1533-position model. The record is from RNAcentral.
AGAGUUUGAUCCUGGCUCAGGAUGAACGCUAGCGGCAGGCUUAAUACAUGCAAGUCGAGGGGCAGCAGGUCCCGCAGCAAUGCGGGAUGCUGGCGACCGGCAAACGGGUGCGGAACACGUACACAACCUUCCUUUAAGUGGGGAAUAGCCCGGGGAAACCCGGAUUAAUACCCCGUAAUAUAAUAGAGUGGCAUCGCUUUAUUAUUAUAGCUCCGGCGCUUGAAGAUGGGUGUGCGACUGAUUAGGCAGUUGGCGGGGUAACGGCCCACCAAACCUACGAUCAGUAACUGGUGUGAGAGCACGACCAGUCACACGGGCACUGAGACACGGGCCCGACUCCUACGGGAGGCAGCAGUAAGGAAUAUUGGUCAAUGGACGCAAGUCUGAACCAGCCAUGCCGCGUGGAGGAUGAAGGUCCUCUGGAUUGUAAACUUCUUUUAUCUGGGAAGAAAUCCACAAAUUCUUUUGUGGUUGACGGUACCAGAUGAAUAAGCACCGGCUAACUCCGUGCCAGCAGCCGCGGUAAUACGGAGGGUGCAAGCGUUAUCCGGAUUCACUGGGUUUAAAGGGUGCGUAGGUGGGUUGGUAAGUCAGUGGUGAAAUCUCCAGGCUUAACUUGGAAACUGCCAUUGAUACUAUCAAUCUUGAAUACCGUGGAGGUCAGCGGAAUAUGUCAUGUAGCGGUGAAAUGCUUAGAUAUGACAUAGAACACCAAUUGCGAAGGCAGCUGGCUACACGAAUAUUGACACUGAUGCACGAAAGCGUGGGGAUCAAACAGGAUUAGAUACCCCCGUAGUCC